GCCCGCCUAGCUCAAUAGGAUAGAGCGUCUGACUCUUAUAAUAGGCUCUUUGAUUAGGAUCUGAAGGCUGCGAAUUCGACCUUCGCGGGUGGGUU
Paramarasmius palmivorus is the source of this 95-nucleotide non-coding RNA. NCBI's taxonomy places the organism in Eukaryota, Fungi, Basidiomycota, Agaricomycetes, Agaricales, Marasmiaceae. The record is from the annotation of a GenBank genome assembly.